RNAcentral lists this ribosomal RNA (119 nucleotides) under Hordeum vulgare subsp. vulgare (domesticated barley). The record is from RNAcentral. Lineage: Eukaryota; Viridiplantae; Streptophyta; Magnoliopsida; Poales; Poaceae.
GGAUGCGAUCAUACCAGCACUAAAGCAACGGAUCCCAUCAGAACUCCGAAGUUAAGCGUGCUUGGGCGAGAGUAGUACUAGGAUGGGUGACCUCCUGGGAAGUCCUCGUGUUGCAUUCA